UCAAGAAUCUUCGGGCAUGCC
Molecule: non-coding RNA, 21 nt
Filed under: Arabidopsis thaliana (thale cress)
Lineage: Eukaryota; Viridiplantae; Streptophyta; Magnoliopsida; Brassicales; Brassicaceae
Source: RNAcentral